Long non-coding RNA from Drosophila obscura, 113 nucleotides. RefSeq lists it as uncharacterized. The transcript has 3 exons. Lineage: Eukaryota; Metazoa; Arthropoda; Insecta; Diptera; Drosophilidae. The record is from RefSeq and is a predicted model, not a curated record.
AAACUUAAGUGCCUAAAACCGUUUAUUUUACCACUUCUUCAAACUAAGGAGAACUAAACGCACUGACGGCAUUCUCCAAAGGAAAGAAUCGCAUUUACUCGGUCUCCUGCCUU